Molecule: ribosomal RNA, 1238 nt
Filed under: metagenome
Description: bacterial LSU rRNA
Rfam family: Bacterial large subunit ribosomal RNA
Source: RNAcentral
UGAAUACGAGAUGCUACGGCGUCGAAGCAGUCUAUGUCAUACUUCCAAGAAAAGCUUGCACUGUCAUAAACAAAUAAUGCCUGUACCAUAACCGACACAGGUGGGUAGGUAGAGUAUACUAAGGGGCGCGAGAUAACUCUCUCUAAGGAACUCGGCAAAAUGACUCCGUAACUUCGGGAGAAGGAGUGCCUUAUUUUAUAAGGUUGCAAUAACAAGAUCCAAGCAACUGUUUACCAAAAACACAGGUCUCCGCUAAGUCGUAAGACGAUGUAAGGGGGCUGACGCCUGCCCAGUGCCAGAAGGUUAAAGAAGUUGGUUAGCAUCCGCGAAGCUGAUAACUGAAGCCCUGGUGAACGGCGGCCGUAACAAUAACGGUCCUAAGGUAGCGAAAUUCCUUGUCGGGUAAGUUCCGACCCGCACGAAAGGCGUAAUGAUUUGGAUACUGUCUCAGAGAGGGGCUCGGUGAAAUAGACUUGUCUGUGAAGAUGCGGACUACCUGCACCAGGACAGAAAGACCCUAUGAAGCUUUACUGUAACUUGAAAUUGAAAUUGGACUUUACUUGCGCAGUAUAGGUGGGAGGCGUUGAGAAUAUUCUUGCGGGAAUGUUGGAGCCAUCAGUGAGAUACCACUCUUGUAAUGUUAGAUUUCUAACUUUGUAUCAUUAUCUGGUCAAAGGACAGUUUCAGGCGGGCAGUUUGACUGGGGCGGUCGCCUCCCAAACGGUAACGGAGGCGCACAAAGGUUUCCUCUGAACGGGUAGAAAUCGUAUCUAGAGUGUAAAGGCAUAAGGAAGCUUGACUGUGAGACCUACAAGUCGAGCAGGGACGAAAGUCGGUCUUAGUGAUCUGACGGUGCUGAGUGGAAAGGCCGUCACUCAACGGAUAAAAGUUACUCUAAGGAUAACAGGCUGAUCUCCCCCAAGAGUUCACAUCGACGGGGAGGUUUGGCACCUCGAUGUCGGCUCAUCGCAUCCUGGGGCGGUAGUACGUCCCAAGGGUUGGGCUGUUCGCCCAUGAAAGCGGUACGCGAGCUGGGUUCAGAACGUCGUGAGACAGUUCGGUCCAUAUCCGGUGUAGGCGUUAGAAUAUUGAGAGGAGCCUUCUUUAGUACGAGAGGACCGAGAAGGACAUACCUCUGGUGUACCAGUUAUCGUGCCAACGGUAAACGCUGGGUAGCUAUGUAUGGAGUGGAUAACCGCUGAAAGCAUCUAAGUGGGAAGCCCACCUCAAGAUAAGUA